AUUGAACGCUGGCGGCAGGCCUAACACAUGCAAGUCGAACGGUAACAGGAAGCAGCUUGCUGCUUUGCUGACGAGUGGCGGACGGGUGAGUAAUGUCUGUGAAACUGCCCGAUGGAGGGGGAUAACUACUGGAAACGGUAGCUAAUACCGCAUAACGUCUCAAGACCAAAGAGGGGGACCUUAGGGCCUCUUGCCUUCGGAUGUGCCCAGAUGGGAUUAGCUAGUAGGUGGGGUAACGGCUCACCUAGGCGACGAUCCCUAGCUGGUCUGAGAGGAUGACCAGCCACACUGGAACUGAGACACGGUCCAGACUCCUACGGGAGGCAGCAGUGGGGAAUAUUGCACAAUGGGCGCAAGCCUGAUGCAGCCAUGCCGCGUGUAUGAAGAAGGCCUUCGGGUUGUAAAGUACUUUCAGCGGGGAGGAAGGGAGUAAAGUUAAUACCUUUGCUCAUUGACGUUACCCGCAGAAGAAGCACCGGCUAACUCCGUG
This 490-nucleotide ribosomal RNA is filed under the name uncultured bacterium. Its description in RNAcentral is "partial 16S ribosomal RNA". It matches the Rfam family "Bacterial small subunit ribosomal RNA", at positions 30 to 507 of the family's 1533-position model. The record is from RNAcentral.